This 512-nucleotide unclassified non-coding RNA is filed under the name uncultured Glomus. RNAcentral describes it as "SSU rRNA". It matches the Rfam family "Eukaryotic small subunit ribosomal RNA", at positions 569 to 1082 of the family's 1831-position model. Lineage: Eukaryota; Fungi; Glomeromycota; Glomeromycetes; Glomerales; Glomeraceae. The record is from RNAcentral.
AGCAGCCGCGGUAAUUCCAGCUCCAAUAGCGUAUAUUAAAGUUGUUGCAGUUAAAAAGCUCGUAGUUGAAUUUCGGGGUUAGCAGGUCGGUCGUGCCAUCGGUAUGAACUGGUCUCGCUGAUCCCUCCCUCUUGACGAACUGUGAUGCCAUUAAUUUGGUGUCGCAGGGAAUCAGGACUGUUACUUUGAAAAAUUAGAGUGUUUAAAGCAGGCUCACGCUUGAAUACAUUAGCAUGGAAUAAUGAAAUAGGACGUUUGAUCCUAUUUUGUUGGCUUCUAGGAUUGACGUAAUGAUUAAUAGGGAUAGUUGGGGGCAUUAGUAUUCAAUUGUCAGAGGUGAAAUUCUUGGAUUUAUUGAAGACUAACUACUGUCGAAAGCGUUUGCCAAGGAUGUUUUCAUUAAUCAAGAACGAAAGUUAGGGGAUCGAAGACGAUCAGAUACCGUCGUAGUCUUAACCAUAAACUAUGCCGACUAGGGAUCGGAUGAUGUUAAUUUUUAAUGUACUCAUUCC